AUUGAACGCUGGCGGCAGGCCUAACACAUGCAAGUCGAGCGAGCGGCGGACGGGUGAGUAAUGUCUGGGGAUCUGCCCGAUCGAGGGGGAUAACUACUGGAAACGGUAGCUAAUACCGCAUACUAUCGGAUGAACCCAUAUGGGAUUAGCUAUUAGUUGGGGUAAAGGCUCACCUAGGCGACGAUCUCUAGCUGGUCUGAGAGGAUGAUCCGCCACACUGGGACUGAGACACGGUCCAGACUCCUACGGGAGGCAGCAGUGGGGAAGAUUGCACAAUGGGCGCAAGCCUGAUGCAGCCAUGCCGCGUGUAUGAAGAAGGCCUUCGGGUUGUAAAGUACUUUCAGCGAGGAGGCGUUACUCGCAGAAGAAGCACCGGCUAACUCCGUGCCAGCAGCCGCGGUAAUAC
RNAcentral lists this ribosomal RNA (406 nucleotides) under uncultured bacterium. RNAcentral describes it as "partial 16S ribosomal RNA". It matches the Rfam family "Bacterial small subunit ribosomal RNA", at positions 30 to 526 of the family's 1533-position model. The record is from RNAcentral.